RNAcentral lists this transfer RNA (77 nucleotides) under Candidatus Thorarchaeota archaeon SMTZ-45. RNAcentral's name for it is "tRNA-Met". It matches the Rfam family "tRNA". Rfam says of the family: Transfer RNA (tRNA) molecules are approximately 80 nucleotides in length. Their secondary structure includes four short double-helical elements and three loops (D, anti-codon, and T loops). RNAcentral also lists the same sequence under 5 other names. Lineage: Archaea; Promethearchaeati; Candidatus Thorarchaeota. The record is from RNAcentral.
GGGCCCGUAGCUCAGCUUGGUAGAGCAGCAGGCUCAUAACCUGUCGGUCGUGCGUUCAAAUCGCGCCGGGCCCACCA